AGCGAACGCUGGCGGCAGGCUUAACACAUGCAAGUCGAGCGGGCAUAGCAAUAUGUCAGCGGCAGACGGGUGAGUAACGCGUGGGAACGUACCUUUUGGUUCGGAACAACACAGGGAAACUUGUGCUAAUACCGGAUAAGCCCUUACGGGGAAAGAUUUAUCGCCGAAAGAUCGGCCCGCGUCUGAUUAGCUAGUUGGUGAGGUAAUGGCUCACCAAGGCGACGAUCAGUAGCUGGUCUGAGAGGAUGAUCAGCCACAUUGGGACUGAGACACGGCCCAAACUCCUACGGGAGGGAGGAGUGGGGGAUAUUGGACAAUGGGCGCAAGCCUGAUCCAGCCAUGCCGCGUGAGUGAUGAAGGCCCUAGGGUUGUAAAGCUCUUUUGUGCGGGAAGAUAAUGACGGUACCGCAAGAAUAAGCCCCGGCUAACUUCGUG
RNAcentral lists this ribosomal RNA (435 nucleotides) under uncultured bacterium. Its description in RNAcentral is "partial 16S ribosomal RNA". It matches the Rfam family "Bacterial small subunit ribosomal RNA", at positions 29 to 507 of the family's 1533-position model. The record is from RNAcentral.